CGUUAAAAAAAAAAAAUGUCUCCUCUCGCGAUAACUAUUUUGAGCCUUCGCGCCCUGAGCGAGGGGCCGAGGUAAAGGCUGUGGGUGGAUAAGGCUCCCGCCCUCGCGCCGCACGGCGGUUCCUCGGAGAAUUUCGCUUGUGACGGAGGUGGCUGUACAAAAUGAGGCCGAUAGAGAACUUGACAGAGAAAAUGGAGCAGAAGAAUCCAGUGCCCACUAGGCUUCCCCCUAUUAUCUCAGAAGAUGGGAAUUACUCCGUGCACCAAAAUAGCCACACAAAGUACCACGAAGCUGUUCGGAAGGUAUCGUUAAAGACAUUCCCCAAUCAGGUCUUCAGGGUCCCCCUGACUGAUGCUCAGAACUUCAGCUUCUGGCGGUCCAACGGUGCAGGAGUGCGCCCAGAGGAGACCAUGCCAUGGAUCCGGAGCCCCCGCCACUGCCUCAUCAAAAGUGCAAUGACCAGGUUUAUGGAUCACUCUAUUCUCAAUGACAGAAACUUCAGUCUGUAUUGAGCAGGAUGUGUUUGCAGAAGGACACCGCAGAUGGAGCGGUGAAGAGGGAGGAAGUGGGAGAAAAGGAAACCCCCACAGGACUCCUGAUGGGGAGUCUGAGACGCCAUCCCCAGCCUGCUGCCUCAGCUUCACUCCAGAAAACAGCCCUGGGAAAAAUGUGCCAUGAU
Molecule: RNA transcript, 679 nt
Organism: Cervus elaphus (red deer)
Lineage: Eukaryota; Metazoa; Chordata; Mammalia; Artiodactyla; Cervidae
Gene: SPMIP11
Gene name: testis expressed 49
Exons: 5
Source: RefSeq, a predicted model, not a curated record